UGGCUGUUCGCUGCAGGGUCUCCUGGCUUGGCGGCACAAGAGCUAAGGUCUGCUUCUGCAGAGGCUUUUCAUGAAGAGCUGUGGUCCUUCCUCAACCUCCCUACCAUUGGAGGUGCCUGGUAGUAGAGUAAGCUGAGGUCACAGGUCAGCCCAUUCCUGACGAUUCUUGUAAUUGGACAGGACGUGCUUUGUGUGGUCUGAUUACCUCUUUUCUUUUGGACCCAACGGGAGCCAUCAAUUAGUACCAUGCUUGUGCCUAAGGCUGACCUGAACCAUUUGAUGGCAGAUCUUCCAUGAAACACCCGGUACCACUUUAUUCCCAGGAAUCUUAAUUACAAAGCAUUACUCUGAUGGAUGUAUUAAGUAGCCUCAAUUCACCCUGGUUUGCAGCCCUUCGAGAAGCCACGCCCCCUCAUCCUUUUCUUCCCUCCUUUGCUGCCCCAGAGUACUGGUGCCUGGAAAGUUUUAUGGCAAAUAAACAUGGAGGAGUGA
Long non-coding RNA from Nycticebus coucang (slow loris), 492 nucleotides. RefSeq lists it as uncharacterized. The transcript has 2 exons. NCBI's taxonomy places the organism in Eukaryota, Metazoa, Chordata, Mammalia, Primates, Lorisidae. The record is from RefSeq and is a predicted model, not a curated record.